UGGGGAAUAUUGGACAAUGGGCGAAAGCCUGAUCCAGCCAUGCCGCGUGUGUGAAGAAGGUCUUCGGAUUGUAAAGCACUUUAAGUUGGGAGGAAGGGCAUUAACCUAAUACGUUAGUGUUUUGACGUUACCGACAGAAUAAGCACCGGCUAACUCUGUGCCAGCAGCCGCGGUAAUACAGAGGGUGCAAGCGUUAAUCAGAAUUACUGGGCGUAAAGCGCGCGUAGGUGGUUUGUUAAGUUGGAUGUGAAAUCCCCGGGCUCAACCUGGGAACUGCAUUCAAAACUGACUGACUAGAGUAUGGUAGAGGGUGGUGGAAUUUCCUGUGUAGCGGUGAAAUGCGUAGAUAUAGGAAGGAACACCAGUGGCGAAGGCGACCACCUGGACUAAUACUGACACUGAGGUGCGAAAGCGUGGGGAGCAAACA
RNAcentral lists this ribosomal RNA (427 nucleotides) under uncultured bacterium. RNAcentral describes it as "partial 16S ribosomal RNA". It matches the Rfam family "Bacterial small subunit ribosomal RNA", at positions 355 to 774 of the family's 1533-position model. The record is from RNAcentral.